This is a long non-coding RNA of Beta vulgaris subsp. vulgaris (sugar beet), 182 nucleotides long. RefSeq lists it as uncharacterized. The transcript is spliced from 3 exons. Lineage: Eukaryota; Viridiplantae; Streptophyta; Magnoliopsida; Caryophyllales; Amaranthaceae. The record is from RefSeq and is a predicted model, not a curated record.
GUAAUCAAGGAGUAUUGCAGAAAUGGCGAAGAAGCAAAAGGUGUCUGAAUUCGAUGAUGUGCAUGUAAGUGAUGACAAUGAAGAAUCUAGUACCGAGGAUCUUCAUUCAGACGGGGAAAGAGAGGUAAUAGGGAAGAAAUCUGGAAGAGCGUAUAAAGAAAUAGAAGUACGAGUGUAUCGGG